AAAAAAAAUCAAUAUUUUUUGUACAUUUGUGCAUAUUUUUACAAAUGAAUAUUUGCAUAUUUCAUAUACUAUAAUAUUUGUAAAAAAUCAUAAGAAAACUUAUUUUAUUUAGUAAUCUAUAAACACAUUACAAUAAGUAUUUUAUUCGAUACAAUAUAAAAUAUAAAAAUAAAAAAAAUGCUACAAAAUUUCAAAGCGUUUUUCUGUAUUCGUGUCAAUAUUUCCAUAUUUUCUUCAAUUUAUCAUUUUUCACCUCUUCAAUAUUCACCAUAAUUUCUUCCAAAUCUACAAUAAAAAUAAAAUGAAAUUGAUUGAUGUAAAAACACUCACAAAAUACCCAUGUGAUUUACAUGUGAAUCACAUGUAAUUCAUAUGUGAAUUACAUAUGAAUUACAUGUGAUUCACAUGUAAUUCAUAUAUGAAUAACAUCUGAUUUACAUGUGAAUAACAUAUGAUUUACAUGUGAAUCACAUGUAAUUCAGAUGUGAAUAACAUGUGAUUUACAUGUGAAUCAUAUUUAAUUCAUAUGUGAAUUACAUGUGAUUCACAUGUAAAUCACAUAUGAAUUACAUGUGAAUCACAUGUAAUUCAUAUGUGAAUUACAUGUGAAUCACAUAUAAUUCAUAUAUGAUUCACUUGUGCUUUAAAUGUGAUUUAUAUGUGAUUUACAUGUAAAUCACAUAUAAUUCGCAUGUGAAUCACAUAUAAUUCACAUGUGAUUCACUUGUGAUGUACAUGUGAAUCACAUAUAAUUCAUAUGUGAUUGACUAGUUGUGCCAAUUGAACUAUAGCUUACAGGUAAGAUUAAGAUAUUCUUUUUACCAUACUUUUGGAUUUUUGUUUAUGUUUCAAUCAGCUCAUGGAAGUUCUUCUCAUAGGAGGGAUGAACAUGUUUUACUAUGCUUUACCUACAAAUACAACAGCCGAGUUAAAAUUGUGAAAGAAAUUGUAACUGGAAAGAAAACAAAUAAUCACAUCAUUUAGACUUAGUUUGUUAUGCUUAUGCAUAUGAAUAACAAGACAAGAUAGAACAUAUCAGGUACUCGAAAGACAAUACAUGGAAUGACUCUAGCAAGCCUUUUAUAAAGCAAAGACCUCAAUCAAUAAAAUAAUAAUAAUAAUAAUAAUAAUAAUAAUAAUGAUAAACACCUGAAACAUUGGAGUAAUUCCAGCAAGCAUUCCAAAAGCUCUCACUAGGUCCCCUUAGAACCAUAUAGCCACCUUAAUGCAUCUCCUAAGUCCUAACUGUAGAAAAAUUCUAAAAAGAAGAUUCAAACGUUGUCAUUAAUUAGCUUUUGUAAAACAUAAAACAUAAAAGUAAAUAAACCUAUAUCGUAAUAAAAAUUUCAAAAGAGUAUAAAAGCUAACAAAGUGUAACAUUGUUAAUACAAAUCAAUAUUAAAAAAUUAGGACUCCUACGAGUGCUAAUUAACAAAAAAACAACAUAAUAAGCACUAAAGCAUCUUGCUGUUUAUGAUCAGAUCAAAGAAAGCUGAAGAGUAUAACAACUAACAGGGAAAUGGAGAGCUUAACAUUGUAUCUAGGUGAAGUAUAUAAAAAUAUUAUAAAUGACAUAAUAUACAAUUUUGUAGACAAUUAUGCUCCGAUUAGAGAUCAAUUAGAGAAAAAAAAUGAAAAUCAAUACCUUUAAAAAUACUGGUAAUAUGUUGUCAAGAAAAAGGUAAUACCAUAUCGAAAAAUUAAAAGCAAUGCAUCAUUAACGAUCAGAUUUGGACGGUUAUUCUCUGAAAUCCAUAAACUUCAUGCAUCAUCGCUGCUCACAGUAGAUCAAAUUGAGAGACACAAACAGUAAAAAAAAAAAAAAAAAAAAAAUUUACUUCUAAUAGUGUAGAGAAGAAGGGGGAGAUAUUUACAUAGGUUUUCAGUUGAAUUCAUCGACAAUCAACGAUCUACUUCCGUCAAUCUUCACCGACGAGCGAUUAAGGCCACUUCAGAUCUAAUUCGGAGACAAUGGUGGAAGAAGACAAUUAUGUGAUCAAGGAGGUGUCAGACAUUGAAGUGGAAGAAAUCAAACAUCAAUUGGCAUCGGUAGAUCGGUGAUUGUCUUUAGGAAAUACGACUGAUCUAUGGAGAAAUGGAAGAAAUCAACGAUCGAUUGCAAAAAAAAGUCAUGGAGAUUUGAGAGAGGCGGACGACUAUUGGAGGGCGGAGAUAGGCGGACGACAGGAGAGUCAGUGAAGAAUACGAGAGAAGUCGAUUUCUGAAUGGCCAGCGGUGGCUCCAGUAAGAUAAUUAAUUCUAUAUCUCGAUGGAAUUGUAGAGGAUCGGAGUCGGUGCCUUCAAAAUCGGUCGGAGAUGAGAGAUCGAUGAGGAGAAAUAACUCCAGAUUUGGACGAUGCGGCUCUGAUUUUAGGGGAAACAGACAAGCUUGAUGAGCGAAUCAUUGGCGAUGGAGGUUACGAUAAUCGAAACAGUAGAUGAUCCGGUGAUGGAGAAGAAGCUGAUGAGGGGAAUCAUCGGAGAAGAAGGUGACUGUGAGGAUGAGGGCAGAACGUGAGAGAGAGAGAGAGAGAGAGAGAGAGAGAGAGAGGGGGAUGCAAUUUUAGUUUAUCGGUAUAUUUAG
RNAcentral lists this long non-coding RNA (2584 nucleotides) under Lactuca sativa (garden lettuce). RNAcentral describes it as "long non-coding RNA (LSAT_LNC005531)". Lineage: Eukaryota; Viridiplantae; Streptophyta; Magnoliopsida; Asterales; Asteraceae. The record is from RNAcentral.